UCGGCCACGCCUUGCGCCACCGCCCGCCCCGCCGGGAGCGCCCACCGGGAGGCGAGGCGGUGGAGGAGGCGGGAGACCGAAGGGGAACGGAGCGGCUCGGUACGGUACGGCCCGGCCCGGCCCGGCCCGGCCAGGCUGGCGGGGUGCAGGAUCGGGGUGAAGGACCGGGUGUCCCCAGGGUGUGGGGUGCAGGGCAUGUGACGGGGGGUGGGGACGACACACGCGGUUAUGGCUUCUGCUCCCUGAGAGGUGCGGGGUGGCCACGGCCCACGGCUCGGCCCCAGCCCAGAGCCACAGGGACCUGAGAUGAGUGCACAGAGCACCCGUGGGGUUGGACGCACCUAUCCCAGUUUCCUUAGAUGCUGCAAUAAACUGGGGACCAUGAAAGGAGAGAGCGUUUUACAAGGUCAAACCAGAGAUGAGUCCCUGACUACCUGGUGUAAUGGGCCACUUGCUGCUCCCAGACUUUCUGGUUCCCCAAAACACCCCGGCCAGCCCUGAAUCAAUCAAGCCCUGGCCCCGAGACUGGCACUUCAGUCUCACUGAGGGGGAUGCCAAGCCCUGUCCUGCUGUGUUCACCACUGCUGCCCUACAUGCUGGUCUGGUGCAGAAGCAGGUCUGCAGCAUUGCUGUCUGCCAGGAGGUACCAGGCUCCUGGGGCGCAGAUGCUGUAAGAGCUCCCCAGCCUCCUCUCUGCAUGAAUAAACUUCUGGAGCACCCCAGAAACCCAAGCUCCAAGUCAGAUGGCCUGCUGGGGCCAGCCAUGCUGAGUGAUCCCUUUGGAGGAGCACGAGCACGCUGAUCCAUGCUCCUGAUGAAAGCAAUGGGGUUGUGAGCACGGUGGCCAGCCCUGUCCUCAACUGCAACUGAGGAGGACCCGGGACAUGGAUGAGCCCGUUCCUGCCAGGCAAGCGUGGCUCACGGGUGUGAUGCUUGGAGAGAUCAGGCCGGAUUCUGCAAAGCCGUCUGCCUUGUGGAGUCAGUUUUAUUGCAAAGGUCUCUGGGGUUUCGCACACCUCUUGUCCAGGUGCGAGCAGCCAGGCUAAACCUUUCUCUGAACAAGGGGAGCAAGCCCGCAGGCUUUCCUGCCCUGCUCCAGAGCUGCCAGUCCCACAUUACUGCCUCUGGGCCAGAACCUGCUCUUGGCGCGGCCGUACCUGGUCCUGCUGCCCAGCACAGCCGGGCUCUGCCAGAUCUGUCCUGCUGCAGGAGGAGAGCAAGGCGCUGCAAAGGGCUCAGGGGCUGGAGAGGCAGAGAGAUUGAAUCACAAAGCGCUUGUUAA
Molecule: long non-coding RNA, 1282 nt
Organism: Aquila chrysaetos chrysaetos
Lineage: Eukaryota; Metazoa; Chordata; Aves; Accipitriformes; Accipitridae
Exons: 3
Source: RefSeq, a predicted model, not a curated record